AGAGGAAUAGCUGGGUCAAAUGGUGGUUCCAUUCCCAGAUUUCCAAGGAAUCUCCACACUGCUUUCCAAAUUGGCUGCACCAAUUUGCAGUCCAACCAGCAAU
This 103-nucleotide microRNA precursor is filed under the name Marmota monax (woodchuck). The record is from RNAcentral. Lineage: Eukaryota; Metazoa; Chordata; Mammalia; Rodentia; Sciuridae.